RNAcentral lists this ribosomal RNA (1235 nucleotides) under Mesorhizobium sp. RNAcentral describes it as "partial 23S ribosomal RNA". It matches the Rfam family "Bacterial large subunit ribosomal RNA", at positions 1 to 1268 of the family's 2925-position model. The record is from RNAcentral. Lineage: Bacteria; Pseudomonadati; Pseudomonadota; Alphaproteobacteria; Hyphomicrobiales; Phyllobacteriaceae.
GGGUUGUGAGGUUAAGCGACUAAGCGUACACGGUGGAUGCCCUGGCAGUCAGAGGCGAUGAAGGACGUGCUAAUCUGCGAAAAGCGCCGGCGAGGUGAUAUGAACCUUUGACCCGGCGAUGUCCGAAUGGGGAAACCCAGUGUGUUCCGACACACUAUCGUUAACUGAAUACAUAGGUUAACGAGGCGAACCGGGGGAACUGAAACAUCUAAGUACCCCGAGGAAAAGAAAUCAACCGAGAUUCCCCCAGUAGCGGCGAGCGAACGGGGAGCAGCCCAGAGUCUGAAUCAGCUUGUGUGUUAGUGGAAGCGUCUGGAAAGUCGCAGGGUACAGGGUGAUACUCCCGUACACGAAAACACACUUGCUGUGAACUCGAAGAGUAGGGCGGGACACGUGGUAUCCUGUCUGAAUAUGGGGGGACCAUCCUCCAAGGCUAAAUACUCCUGACUGACCGAUAGUGAACCAGUACCGUGAGGGAAAGGCGAAAAGAACCCCGGCGAGGGGAGUGAAAAAGAACCUGAAACCGUGUACGUACAAGCAGUGGGAGCCUACUUGUUAGGUGACUGCGUACCUUUUGUAUAAUGGGUCAGCGACUUAUAUUCUGUAGCAAGGUUAACCGUAUAGGGGAGCCGAAGGGAAACCGAGUCUUAACUGGGCGUUAAGUUGCAGGGUAUAGACCCGAAACCCGGUGAUCUAGCCAUGGGCAGGUUGAAGGUUGGGUAACACUAACUGGAGGACCGAACCGACUAAUGUUGAAAAAUUAGCGGAUGACUUGUGGCUGGGGGUGAAAGGCCAAUCAAACCGGGAGAUAGCUGGUUCUCCCCGAAAGCUAUUUAGGUAGCGCCUCGUGAAUUCAUCUUCGGGGGUAGAGCACUGUUUCGGCUAGGGGGCCAUCCCGGCUUACCAACCCGAUGCAAACUACGAAUACCGAAGAAUGUUAUCACGGGAGACACACGGCGGGUGCUAACGUCCGUCGUGAAGAGGGAAACAACCCAGACCGCCAGCUAAGGUCCCAAAGUCAUGGUUAAGUGGGAAACGAUGUGGGAAGGCACAGACAGCCAGGAUGUUGGCUUAGAAGCAGCCAUCAUUUAAAGAAAGCGUAAUAGCUCACUGGUCGAGUCGGCCUGCGCGGAAGAUGUAACGGGGCUAAACCAUGCACCGAAGCUGCGGCAGCGACGCGUAUGCGUUGUUGGGUAGGGGAGCGUUCUGUAAGCCGUUGAAGGUGGCCUGUGAGG